This is a long non-coding RNA of Lingula anatina, 415 nucleotides long. The record is from RefSeq and is a predicted model, not a curated record. NCBI's taxonomy places the organism in Eukaryota, Metazoa, Brachiopoda, Lingulata, Lingulida, Lingulidae.
UUCACUUUUAUCUUAAAAGAGGACAUUAUUCUUGAUGAGAUUCCGUACCAUUGGAACUUCAGUUUAAGAGGAAGUAUAGAACAUUUUGAAGUCUGUGGCAUGAUCAAGUAGCCAGGGUGAAGAUAGGGCAAGGCAUCUCAAAUUCUUAAUAGAAGCAGGUACCACUUCUACUUCUCACAUAGAAACUGGUAGUAUUUAUACUUCAUGUUGGUAGAAACAAGAACCACUUCUACAGCAACCCUAUAACACUUAGGCACAGGUGAAAUUUUUCUGAUUACCUCAGUCAAUUUGAAGGUGUGCAGCAUUGGAUGAGGUAUAUGGGAUAUUUUCCAGAAGGAGCUCCCAACUAAAUGAAUUACUCUACAAAGAAGACACACAAGUGCAUGUCCGAGAAACGGAACUGGAGAUUAAAGGA